This 484-nucleotide ribosomal RNA is filed under the name uncultured bacterium. Its description in RNAcentral is "partial 16S ribosomal RNA". It matches the Rfam family "Bacterial small subunit ribosomal RNA", at positions 30 to 507 of the family's 1533-position model. The record is from RNAcentral.
AUUGAACGCUGGCGGCAGGCCUAACACAUGCAAGUCGAGCGGAUGAAGGGAGCUUGCUCCUGGAUUCAGCGGCGGACGGGUGAGUAAUGCCUAGGAAUCUGCCUGGUAGUGGGGGAUAACGUCCGGAAACGGGCGCUAAUACCGCAUACGUCCUGAGGGAGAAAGUGGGGGAUCUUCGGACCUCACGCUAUCAGAUGAGCCUAGGUCGGAUUAGAUAGUUGGUGGGGUAAAGGCCUACCAAGGCGACGAUCCGUAACUGGUCUGAGAGGAUGAUCAGUCACACUGGAAGUGAGACACGGUCCAGACUCCUACGGGAGGCAGCAGUGGGGAAUAUUGGACAAUGGGCGAAAGCCUUAUACAGCCAGGCCGCGUGUGUGAAGAAGGUCUUCGGAUUGUAAAGCACUUUAAGGUGGGAGGAAGGGCAGUAAGUUAAGACCUUGCUGUUUUGACGUUACCAACAGAAUAAGCACCGGCUAACUUCGUG